This 380-nucleotide ribosomal RNA is filed under the name uncultured eukaryote. RNAcentral describes it as "partial 18S ribosomal RNA". It matches the Rfam family "Eukaryotic small subunit ribosomal RNA", at positions 592 to 976 of the family's 1831-position model. The record is from RNAcentral.
CAAUAGCGUAUAUUAAAGUUGUUGCAGUUAGAACGCUCGUAGUCGGAUUUCGGGGCGGGCCGACCGGUCUGCCGAUGGGUAUGCACUGGUCGGCGCGUCCUUCCUUCCGGAGACCGUCCCUACUCUUAACUGAGCGGGGGCGGGAGACGGGACUUUUACUUUGAAAAAAUCAGAGUGUUUCAAGCAGGCAGCUCGCUCUUGCAUGGAUUAGCAUGGGAUAAUGAAAUAGGACUUUGGUGCUAUUUUGUUGGUUUCGAGCACCGAAGUAAUGAUGAGAAGGGACAGUCAGGGGCACUCGUAUUCCGCCGAGAGAGGUGAAAUUCUCAGACCAGCGGAAGACGAACCACUGCGAAAGCAUUUGCCAGGGAUGUUUUCACUGA